UACAGAGGUCCCGAGCGUUGUUCGGAUUUAUUGGGCGUAAAGGGUGCGUAGGCGGCGGAGUAAGUUGGGUGUGAAAUCCCGAGGCUCAACCUCGGAAUUGCAUUCAGUACUGCUUCGCUCGAGUACUGGAGAGGAGGCUGGAAUUUACGGUGUAGCAGUGAAAUGCGUAGAUAUCGUAAGGAAGGCCGGUGGCGAAAGCGAGCCUCUGGACAGUUACUGACGCUGAUGCACGAAGGCCAGGGGAGCAAACGGG
RNAcentral lists this ribosomal RNA (253 nucleotides) under uncultured bacterium. Its description in RNAcentral is "partial 16S ribosomal RNA". It matches the Rfam family "Bacterial small subunit ribosomal RNA", at positions 524 to 776 of the family's 1533-position model. The record is from RNAcentral.